RNAcentral lists this ribosomal RNA (478 nucleotides) under uncultured bacterium. Its description in RNAcentral is "partial 16S ribosomal RNA". It matches the Rfam family "Bacterial small subunit ribosomal RNA", at positions 28 to 523 of the family's 1533-position model. The record is from RNAcentral.
GACGAACGCUGGCGGCGUGCUUAACACAUGCAAGUCGAACGGUAAGGCCCUUCGGGGUACACGAGUGGCGAACGGGUGAGCAACACGUGGGUGAUCUGCCCUGCACUUCGGGAUAAGCCUGGGAAACUGGGUCUAAUACCGGAUAGGACCCUGGGAUGCAUGUCCUGGGGUGGAAAGCUUUUGCGGUGUGGGAUGGGCCCGCGGCCUGUCAGCUUGUUGGUGGGGUGAUGGCCUACCAAGGCGACGACGGGUAGCCGGCCGGAGAGGGUGACCGGCCACACUGGGACUGAGAUACGGCCCAGACUCCUACGGGAGGCAGCAGUGGGGAAUAUUGCACAAUGGGCGCAAGCCUGAUGCAGCGACGCCGCGUGAGGGAUGACGGCCUUCGGGUUGUAAACCUCUUUCAGCACCGACGAAGCGCAAGUGACGGUAGGUGCAGAAGAAGGACCGGCCAACUACGUGCCAGCCGCCGCCGUAA